UACCUGUGUGACUGCGUACCUUUUGUAUAAUGGGUCAGCGACUUAUAUUCUGUAGCAAGGUUAACCGUAUAGGGGAGCCGUAGGGAAACCGAGUCUUAACCGGGCGUUAAGUUGCAGGGUAUAGACCCGAAACCCGGUGAUCUAGCCAUGGGCAGGUUGAAGGUUGGGUAACACUAACUGGAGGACCGAACCGACUAAUGUUGAAAAAUUAGCGGAUGACCUGUGGCUGGGGGUGAAAGGCCAAUCAAACCGGGAGAUAGCUGGUUCUCCCCGAAAGCUAUUUAGGUAGCGCCUCGUGAAUUCAUCUCCGGGGGUAGAGCACUGUUUCGGCUAGGGGGCCAUCCCGGCUUACCAACCCGAUGCAAACUGCGAAUACCGGAGAAUGUUAUCACGGGAGACACACGGCGGGUGCUAACGUCCGUCGUGAAGAGGGAAACAACCCAGACCGCCAGCUAAGGUCCCAAAGUCAUGGUUAAGUGGGAAACGAUGUGGGAAGGCCCAGACAGCCAGGAUGUUGGCUUAGAAGCAGCCAUCAUUUAAAGAAAGCGUAAUAGCUCACUGGUCGAGUCGGCCUGCGCGGAAGAUGUAACGGGGCUAAACCAUG
RNAcentral lists this ribosomal RNA (604 nucleotides) under Salmonella enterica subsp. enterica serovar Javiana. RNAcentral describes it as "partial 23S ribosomal RNA". It matches the Rfam family "Bacterial large subunit ribosomal RNA", at positions 586 to 1191 of the family's 2925-position model. Lineage: Bacteria; Pseudomonadati; Pseudomonadota; Gammaproteobacteria; Enterobacterales; Enterobacteriaceae. The record is from RNAcentral.